UACGUAGGGGGCAAGCGUUGUCCGGAAUUAUUGGGCGUAAAGAGCGCGUAGGCGGUCCGAUGAAGUCGGCUGUGAAAGUCAGGGGCUCAACCCUUGAAAGCCGGCCGAUACUGUCGGACUAGAGUCCGGAAGAGGCAAGUGGAAUUCCCGGUGUAGCGGUGAAAAUGCGCAGGAUAUCGGGGAGGAACACCGGUGGCGAAGGCGGGUCACUGGGCAACA
This 219-nucleotide ribosomal RNA is filed under the name uncultured bacterium. RNAcentral describes it as "partial 16S ribosomal RNA". It matches the Rfam family "Bacterial small subunit ribosomal RNA", at positions 524 to 738 of the family's 1533-position model. The record is from RNAcentral.